Molecule: ribosomal RNA, 498 nt
Filed under: uncultured bacterium
Lineage: Bacteria
Description: partial 16S ribosomal RNA
Rfam family: Bacterial small subunit ribosomal RNA
Source: RNAcentral
GACGAACGCUGGCGGCGUGCCUAAUACAUGCAAGUCGAGCGGACGGAUGGGAGCUUGCUCCCAGACCGUCAGCGGCGGACGGGUGAGUAACACGUGGGCAACCUGCCUGUAAGACUGGGAUAACUCCGGGAAACCGGGGCUAAUACCGGAUAACUCUUUCCCUCACCUGAGGGAAAGCUGAAAGAUGGCAUCUCGCUAUCACUUACAGAUGGGCCCGCGGCGCAUUAGCUAGUUGGUGAGGUAACGGCUCACCAGGGCGACGAUGCGUAGCCGACCUGAGAGGGUGAUCGGCCACACUGGGACUGAGACACGGCCCAGACUCCUACGGGAGGCAGCAGUAGGGAAUCUUCCGCAAUGGACGAAAGUCUGACGGAGCAACGCCGCGUGAGUGAUGAAGGUUUUCGGAUCGUAAAACUCUGUUGUCAGGGAAGAACAAGUACCGGAGUAACUGCCGGUACCUUGACGGUACCUGACCAGAAAGCCACGGCUAACUACGUG